UACGUAGGGUGCGAGCGUUAAUCGGAAUUACUGGGCGUAAAGCGUGCGCAGGCGGUUCGUUAAGUCAGAUGUGAAAGCCCCGGGCUCAACCUGGGAACUGCAUUUGAAACUGGCGGGCUUGAGUGUGGCAGAGGGGGGUGGAAUUCCGCGUGUAGCAGUGAAAUGCGUAGAGAUGCGGAGGAACACCGAUGGCGAAGGCAGCCCCCUGGGCCAACACUGACGCUCAGGCACGAAAGCGUGGGGAGCAAACAGG
Molecule: ribosomal RNA, 253 nt
Filed under: uncultured bacterium
Lineage: Bacteria
Description: partial 16S ribosomal RNA
Rfam family: Bacterial small subunit ribosomal RNA
Source: RNAcentral